Molecule: microRNA, 22 nt
Filed under: Hyalella azteca
Lineage: Eukaryota; Metazoa; Arthropoda; Malacostraca; Amphipoda; Hyalellidae
Description: miR-3362-b
Source: RNAcentral
UUUGAAGUUUAUGAAUGUGAUG